Long non-coding RNA from Zophobas morio, 525 nucleotides. RefSeq lists it as uncharacterized. The transcript is spliced from 2 exons. Lineage: Eukaryota; Metazoa; Arthropoda; Insecta; Coleoptera; Tenebrionidae. The record is from RefSeq and is a predicted model, not a curated record.
CAUUUCAUAACCCACAUCAUUACUAAACCGUAUUAAAAAUGAAAAUCGUGCAUUGCAUAAGUUGCUUAUUUUUUGUUCUAUUGUGCUAUACAGUCGUCUCCGGAGCAGUCAGAAAGUGCUUCUCUUGUGACAAGAAAUGCCAAGAACCUUUUGAGGUUCAGGACUGCUCGAAAGGACACGACGGCCACUUCCUUUGUUUUACUUUGAAAGAGAAAGAUAAAAAGGAACUAGAUAAGGGAUGCGUUGAUGCGGUAGACAAUCAAGCGUUUCACGACAAAUGCAAAGGAGUGAAAGAGCAAGGAGGCAGAUGUAGUUUGUGUAGCACAAACUUUUGCAAUUCAGGGGAAAUCAGCUCGAUGUCGGUGGUUUUAAUUACUUGCUUAGUCGUCGUAUUGGUUAAAAUUGUGUGGUAAAAAACCGUGGGUAGAAGACUAAAUCUGAGAGGGAUGCUGUGUGAUAAAUUGAGUUUUUUAAAAACAGUAACUUUUCGGAAAAAAUUAAUAUAAUUCUUGUAAUUUUAUGAAA